This 6909-nucleotide small RNA is filed under the name Rattus norvegicus (Norway rat). Its description in RNAcentral is "uncharacterized LOC102556249". Lineage: Eukaryota; Metazoa; Chordata; Mammalia; Rodentia; Muridae. The record is from RNAcentral.
CCCCGGACGCGCGGCCCCCCCACCCGCGGCCCCGCGCGCCUCUCCCUGACACCACCCUCCGCGGCCCCCUCCGGACCCUCUGGCCCCCAAGACGCCCCUCCGGCCCUCCCCUAGGAGAGGGGGCCCUCGCCAAGUCUCCGCCUUCCUGCCCUCCUCCUGUCAAUGCCGCUGUCCAGAGCUCGCAGCCCUGGGAACGCCACUCCAGCGGGGCCUCCUUCUCCUGGGACCCCCUGGGCCCCACCCCCAGGACCUCCCACCUCUGCAAACCCCGAGUUUGCUUUUCCCAUCCACCGGGCAGCUCUUCUCCACGCCCACCUGGCUGGACCCGGGAAACCGAAGAAGUUAGUGGGGGUUCACCAGUAGGAAUCGGUAUGAGGGAGAGCCUGGAGGAGGAAAUGGGGAAAGGGGAAAUGUUCAGAAGGAAUGGAGGACAGCGAGCAGGGUAUUCGGGGAUGGAGGACCAAGUGUGUUUCUUUGGGAAGUGCUGGCAUGUAGGGGUGUGUGCUGUGUACCUGUGUGAAGGAUGUACGCAGAAUGUAGAGUAUGGGGUACGUGAGGGUGGUGUGUACGUAUGUGUCCUGUGGCGGGGAGCGGUGUGCAUUCCGAGAUGUGCGCAGGGUGAACACAGUGUACGUGCAAUGUCCAGGCGUGUGGUGUGCAAGUGUGUGUCUGUGUGUUAUGUGGUGAAUGUGCAGGAAAGGUGUCGCCUUGAGGUGUGGGUAGAGUAUUGUAGGUGCUGGGGGGUUAUGAAUAGGGUAUGCGGGAGAACUGGCUAGAGAUUUCUCUCAGAGGACCAGCCAUGGAGAAGGCCAGGAUGAAGUCUUGGGGAGAACCUCGGGUGAGUUCAGCUCUGAGUCCAUUUCCGUUUUCAGAUCUGGCAGACAAAUCCCUCACACUCAGGUAAAUAAAUUCGGCCUGUGCUCGAGUGCACGAGAAGGGAGAACGUUGUAGUAGCCCAGAUCUGGACUUGGACCACUGGAGGCCUCCCUCUGGCAACCCCGCCCUGGCCUGCAGUCCGGGGUGUGGGUGAUUCAGGCCGCCUGCGCAGCAGCUUCGGAACCGCGGGUUGCCUUGGCUGCGCCUUUAGCUGGGGCUGGGAGAAGCCGGGUCCGAGAGUCGGGAAGAGGGAGAGGUGGAGAGAAUGCGCCUGCGCACGAGUCUUUCCCACAGCAGGUUCAAGUCAGGAAAAGGCCUAGGGACUUUCCUAUUUUUUGCCCUUUAAAGUCAGAGACCCUUCCAAAACUGAGCGCUGUAUUGCCUGGGGAAGCCGCGCCUAUGUGUCCGAGGCAGCUCUGGGGUUCUUGCCCACCCUUCCGGGAAGCCGAUUGCUAGUGGGUGUAUGGAGGCUUUCCAAAGACUCCCGGAGGUUUGCGUGGGUUUCACUUCGGGCCAUAGCUUCAGAAAGAGCGAGCCUGCCUCUCUGUAUUUUUAGCAGGAGGAGCAGAAUUUGAAACAGCAGCAUACCGGUCCUGCGCCUGGUGAAGGAUGACUCGCCAGAAAGCAAAGGCACAGCCCUACCUCCGCGAGCUUGGCGCGUGGCCCAGGAGGCUCCGCGAGCCCUCGUACGUAAGGAUCGCGGCGCCCACGCUUGAGAGCAGAGCUCAGUGCAAACUUCCAACGGUUCUUCCAGUUUCCAGGGAAACGAGAUCUGGAGCUGCUGUGCGUUGCAGAGCUGCCUCUCUGCAACCCACAUGGGACCCCUGUGGCUGGCUGGUCUUGGGGAAGAAGGAGUUGAAGCCACCACAUCCAUGAAGGCGCCGAUCCCCGGACGCGCGGCCCCCCCACCCGCGGCCCCGCGCGCCUCUCCCUGACACCACCCUCCGCGGCCCCCUCCGGACCCUCUGGCCCCCAAGACGCCCCUCCGGCCCUCCCCUAGGAGAGGGGGCCCUCGCCAAGUCUCCGCCUUCCUGCCCUCCUCCUGUCAAUGCCGCUGUCCAGAGCUCGCAGCCCUGGGAACGCCACUCCAGCGGGGCCUCCUUCUCCUGGGACCCCCUGGGCCCCACCCCCAGGACCUCCCACCUCUGCAAACCCCGAGUUUGCUUUUCCCAUCCACCGGGCAGCUCUUCUCCACGCCCACCUGGCUGGACCCGGGAAACCGAAGAAGUUAGUGGGGGUUCACCAGUAGGAAUCGGUAUGAGGGAGAGCCUGGAGGAGGAAAUGGGGAAAGGGGAAAUGUUCAGAAGGAAUGGAGGACAGCGAGCAGGGUAUUCGGGGAUGGAGGACCAAGUGUGUUUCUUUGGGAAGUGCUGGCAUGUAGGGGUGUGUGCUGUGUACCUGUGUGAAGGAUGUACGCAGAAUGUAGAGUAUGGGGUACGUGAGGGUGGUGUGUACGUAUGUGUCCUGUGGCGGGGAGCGGUGUGCAUUCCGAGAUGUGCGCAGGGUGAACACAGUGUACGUGCAAUGUCCAGGCGUGUGGUGUGCAAGUGUGUGUCUGUGUGUUAUGUGGUGAAUGUGCAGGAAAGGUGUCGCCUUGAGGUGUGGGUAGAGUAUUGUAGGUGCUGGGGGGUUAUGAAUAGGGUAUGCGGGAGAACUGGCUAGAGAUUUCUCUCAGAGGACCAGCCAUGGAGAAGGCCAGGAUGAAGUCUUGGGGAGAACCUCGGGUGAGUUCAGCUCUGAGUCCAUUUCCGUUUUCAGAUCUGGCAGACAAAUCCCUCACACUCAGGUAAAUAAAUUCGGCCUGUGCUCGAGUGCACGAGAAGGGAGAACGUUGUAGUAGCCCAGAUCUGGACUUGGACCACUGGAGGCCUCCCUCUGGCAACCCCGCCCUGGCCUGCAGUCCGGGGUGUGGGUGAUUCAGGCCGCCUGCGCAGCAGCUUCGGAACCGCGGGUUGCCUUGGCUGCGCCUUUAGCUGGGGCUGGGAGAAGCCGGGUCCGAGAGUCGGGAAGAGGGAGAGGUGGAGAGAAUGCGCCUGCGCACGAGUCUUUCCCACAGCAGGUUCAAGUCAGGAAAAGGCCUAGGGACUUUCCUAUUUUUUGCCCUUUAAAGUCAGAGACCCUUCCAAAACUGAGCGCUGUAUUGCCUGGGGAAGCCGCGCCUAUGUGUCCGAGGCAGCUCUGGGGUUCUUGCCCACCCUUCCGGGAAGCCGAUUGCUAGUGGGUGUAUGGAGGCUUUCCAAAGACUCCCGGAGGUUUGCGUGGGUUUCACUUCGGGCCAUAGCUUCAGAAAGAGCGAGCCUGCCUCUCUGUAUUUUUAGCAGGAGGAGCAGAAUUUGAAACAGCAGCAUACCGGUCCUGCGCCUGGUGAAGGAUGACUCGCCAGAAAGCAAAGGCACAGCCCUACCUCCGCGAGCUUGGCGCGUGGCCCAGGAGGCUCCGCGAGCCCUCGUACGUAAGGAUCGCGGCGCCCACGCUUGAGAGCAGAGCUCAGUGCAAACUUCCAACGGUUCUUCCAGUUUCCAGGGAAACGAGAUCUGGAGCUGCUGUGCGUUGCAGAGCUGCCUCUCUGCAACCCACAUGGGACCCCUGUGGCUGGCUGGUCUUGGGGAAGAAGGAGUUGAAGCCACCACAUCCAUGAAGGUUUUGUCUGGAGCCUGUCUGAUCCGAUGCAUUCAGUACUGAAAGCUUUCAGGAACAUUCUUUUACUCACUUCUCAGGACAACCGGUGAGGAUCCUUUCACCGAGGAAGAGCUCAUCAUGCUCUGUUGUGAGCCAUCCUCAACUUCCACUUGCAGAGUCUGCUUAACCUUCCAUGCAUGCCAAGGAGGGGACCCAGGGUAGCUGCGGUCUAGUCACGUGACCUGGAGGGUCAGAGGCAGGAAGGAGAGCAACUCCAGAAAGAACCACACCGGUGAGGGAUAACUUUGCCACUUUUCCAGGAAAAUGACAUCAUUAACUACUGUUCAAGUUCCUACAGAGGUCUGGCGGCCUUCUGGGGGCAGGUAUCACUCUCCCACACCAUCACCUUUUAAAUAUUUUAUUAACAUAUGUCUUAGUCUACCUUCUUUUACUGUAACUGAAUAACAUUUACAAAGAACAAUGGUUUAUUUAGCUAACACUUCAGAAGUGCUUGCAACUGUGAAGCCCUUGUGCUGUGUAUAGUAUGGUGUAAGGAAUGACUUGGCAAGACAGAGCAGCCAAAGAGCUUCUUCCACAACAAAACCGCUCAACCAAUUAUAUCCCAAAGGUUCCACCAAACACCAUGAGCAUAUGACUUUGGGGGUCACGUUUCUCGCCUGUGGAUUCUGGGGACAAGCGUUCAUGCAUCACAAGUAGCCAAAUAGUUGAAAUGUUCAUUGUUAAGCCUCACCCCCUCCCGACCCCCCUUUUUUUCCUAGGAACAGCCACGUUAAUCUGUUACUUCACACAGGCAGUGCAGGCAUCCUCUGUGCAAAACACCCAACGGUGAAUCUUCCAAAGAAUUCAUGAAACCGUAGCCGAGUUCUCAGAGACACAACAGUGUUUCUUACUAUGUUCAAAGUCUUAUAGAAUGUAACACAGAAAAUAUUAAAUAUACAAUGUGCUAUCUUCAUGGCAUAGAAACAAGCAUUUAUCUAACUUACGAAAGACAGAAGUGCCCGAGACACGGCCCAGGACCUGUCAGCCAACCAGAGCUUCUUCCUGCACUUGCUUAGGCAUUUGUAGAAGGAAUCUAUCCCAGCCGCUACAGCUGGUCUGGUUUGUUUUCUUUUGUUUGUUCAUUUGUUUUUAUUUUACAGAGAGUCAGAGAGCAUGAUUCUCCCUACCUGGCUUCUUUUGUUCCAUAAAUAAUGUUUGUGGAGCGUGUCCACGAUGCUGCGCACAGCCCUGGCUCACUCAUGGCUGGUAAUGAAACCCUGCAGCUGACCAGUUUCACUGCAGUAAGCAACACAUUGCUUCUUGUUUGGGAAUGGUGUGUCGGGAAUCAUUGAGACACGCAGCUGAGUAACCCUGUCUGAUUAAUACUGUCUUUACUUCUAUUUCCCCCUCUUUGCAUCGAGGUGCAAUUUAUGUACAAUAAGAAUCAUUGAUUUUAACUGUAUGAUUCCACGAGUUUGGACAGCUGCAUACAUUAUACGGACGACCCACUCAUGACUCAAUGCUGGUCCAACUCCUGCAAAUGCUAAGCUCAGCUUUUCCCGACUCCCACCUCGUGCAGUAUACAGGAUUUCCUGUGCAUGGGCAACCUUUUCUGUCUGGCUUCAGUGCCUUUCAGAUUCGUCCAAACUCUCACAUGAAUCGAUUGGUUGUGCUUAUUGCUGAAUAGAAUUCUAGUAAAAAGUGUUUAUCCAUUCACGGCAUGGUGGGCAUUCUGGCUGUCUCUGACGGGGUGACUGACCUGUAUUCAACCGUGGUACCAUGCAGGUUUAAGUCGAUAUGAGCGUGCUUCCAACUCCUUAGGUGUGUGGUAGGAGUGUGAUUGCUGGGCUGCAUCACCACACAUUUACAGUUAUCCUUAAAGAAAACAGAAGAUCAUUAACUAGAAUCAUUUUCCGCCCCCAUCCCCCCGUGCCGUAUGUGUAUACUCCUGGGUUGUGUUUUUAGCAACACAAGGUGUGUCAGCUUCCCUAGCAUGUUGGCCAGCCUGGCGUCCAUAGAUGGAUUCUCAUGGUGGCUUUAAUUUGCAUUGCCUGGUUUUGAAUGCUAUCAACACUUUCACUUAUCUUCAGUAAUGCGCGGGCGCGCGCGCGCGCGCGCACACACACACACACACACACACACACACACACACACACACUUGGUUAGCUUUUUCGAAAAUUACGUGGUCUCUAAGUCUCUAUCAUUUUAUCAACAGUGAAUAGAAGCGUGACUGGAAAUGUGGCGUACGUUGGCCCUGUGGAUUCUCCUGUAAUAGCCCAAGCACAUAUUAUACCUCUUUCAGCUGAUCCCUCGAAAACUCAUCACUACUCAACCUGGUCUCCUCUGGAGUCUAAAUGAAGCACUUAAUGGGAAUCCACCUAAGCCUCCUCUGGCUUCUGUUUAUGACAGUAAAGAGUCCAGGUAAGUCAUGUCAGGGGUAGACAGAGCUGCCAGCUGCCCAUGUCUUAGCGAGAUCAGUGAGCUAUAUCUCCCAAGAGAGAAUUGUCAUUCUGCCUCUCUGCCAUGAGGACACUGCUGGACCACCUCUGCAGGAGCUUGCACUGAUGCUGUGCUAGAAAGAACAAAGACCCUUCUCUGCUUUGGUUUCCUUUAGAAAUGGUUCUGGCUCUGUCUCCCACAUACUCCAGCCUCCCACCACUCCAACUGGGGUGAACUUUCCUUCUACCUGUGGAACACAUCAAAUGGAGUUCUUGUGUUUCCUGUGUUCAUUUUCUCGUCUGAAAUCAUGCUGUUGCUGCUGUCUACCACACUAUGUCCUUGUAUUCCUAGACCUCCAAAACCAGGGCUGGACAGUCCAGGUGGAGCCUUUCUUCCUUAGCAGACGUAAGUAGACACAACCAUCCUGUAGGGCGAACAAGAGCUUGGUGGCUGGACAACCACUUCAGAUUUUCAAAUACACCCUCACAGAGAUGCUCAGGGAUGCUCACUGAAGUUUCAUCUGAGGCAGGGAGUCACAAGAAAGCAGAGAAGGAUGACCCCUGCCAAAACCAUGUUAGAGCAAAGGUGGCAGGGUCUCCCUUCCCUUGAAAUAACUCAAAUGCUGGACAGAGGACAGAAAGCAUGGUUUUCAAAUGCUAAUCAUGAAACAAGGCAAGACUGUGACAGAGAAUCAAAGAAAGCCUCCAGUGCCUCGUGUAACAGCUUAAGAGUUGCCAGCAAUGGUGCCAGCCGAGGAGCCCAGGCAGACUCAAAGAACUUCCCUGGGUUUAAGAGACAUGCUUGUGCUCAAGGGACCAAACUAAAUGUAUACAGGUUUGAUUUUUGUCAAUUAUGCUUCAAUAUAACUAUAAAAACUGGGGUAAAAGCACACUGUAAAAUACUGUCAAUCAGAAGUAACAAAGCUGUAUCUAAUACAUAACUCUAAGUGAGUAAAGAAUCAAUAUUGUCCAACCA